Molecule: long non-coding RNA, 1323 nt
Filed under: Cricetulus griseus (Chinese hamster)
Lineage: Eukaryota; Metazoa; Chordata; Mammalia; Rodentia; Cricetidae
Description: lncRNA (ENSCGRG00015033311.1)
Source: RNAcentral
ACAUUCAUGUGACCCCAGUGCAUGGCAAAAGUUUAAGGAAAUCACUAAUACUUCUUGCCAAGACCUAUUUACUACCGCUGAGUUCUUCACUUCCUGAGAUCUGAGCUUUGGUUGUUUUGUUGUUCACAGGUUUAAUCUUCAGCUUCUAAGUUCCAAGGGUGGAAAGCAGAGAGUCCCGAGGAAUCAGUCCCAACGCACAGUCUGCUCACCUGUCUCCACUAGUUGCCUGUCCCAGCAAAGGAAAGACAUAACACAACCUGGCAGAAACAUAAAGAGUUCUAGAUAUCUCCUGUCUGAAAUGUAGAAAAUCAAAUGACUCUGUUUGAUUUUCAAAAUGAUCAUAGGAUCAUUUCUAGGAGGAACUCUUGUGAGCAGUGACCCCUCAGCCCAGGCAGGUGGGCUCCUGGAAGGCAAGCCAUAGCUGAGUUUAAGUUUUCCAGAACUUGCAGCCUUGAUCCAUGGAGACCUGCCUAUAUUCUUUGUGUUCUUAUAUCAGUUAGUGUUAGUAUUUAUUGUUUUCCACUAUGUUAAUGCAGGAGAUCCUGCAAGUGUGUUAUUAGAUGUUAAGUAAAAAUCAUACCAUGUUCCUCUGUACAGACAGGAGUGUUACUCAUAUUUUUAUGUGUUACUUUUAAUAAAUAAUGGCUGUACUCAGUACACUAAACAUUACAUCAUGACUGUGGUAUGGCACUGGCAAUGUGUUGUCAUAGUUUUGACUAGUAGGAUUGGUUUUUAGAAUAUGAAUUAGAAUUAGAAUUAGAAUAUGAGAAAAACACCUGUAAAAAGCACAAAAGGACCAGAGGGCUGAAGUAUCAGCCAGCAGUAGAGGGAAAUUGACAUUUCUUUGAUUUUUCUCAUUUGUAAUUCAUACCAUGUGACAAAAUGCCUGGGGGUUUGUGAUACCAAAAAGGCAACUGAAUUAGAUUUCUUUGAUUGAUCCACUGGGCUGACACUAUCUCUGUGGUAUUUUUAUUUAUUUAUUUUUAGAAAAAUCACAAGUGGGGCAAGUAAUCUUUACUAAAACUCCAUCAUCUAGAAAAUCAAAAUCUCAUCAACACUUAGUUGGGAUGUUGUUUUUCAAUGUGUCACAUUCAUAAAAUUCCAUAAAAACAUAGUGUCACCCCCAUCAAGAGAAGACUUUGUUGUUGAAAUCUAAUGAUCAACCUUGACCACUUCCUUGACACAAAAGAUGAAAAUAUCAAUUUAGCUGAAGUUCUGAGGAAAGCUCCAGGAUUAAUAAGCUGCAACCGGUAGCACUUUCAAUGUCUGUGAUUUCUCUAGCUGAACUCAACAAAAAUCUGUCUUACUGAUCUGAGGCUGGGG